This 289-nucleotide ribosomal RNA is filed under the name uncultured soil bacterium. RNAcentral's name for it is "partial 16S ribosomal RNA". It matches the Rfam family "Bacterial small subunit ribosomal RNA", at positions 26 to 316 of the family's 1533-position model. The record is from RNAcentral.
AGAUUGAACGCUGGCGGCAGGCCUAACACAUGCAAGUCGAGCGGUAGAGAGGUGCUUGCAUCUCUUGAGAGCGGCGGACGGGUGAGUAAUGCCUAGGAAUCUGCCUAGUGGUGGGGGAUAACGUUCGGAAACGGACGCUAAUACCGCAUACGUCCUACGGGAGAAAGCAGGGGACCUUCGGGCCUUGCGCCAUCAGAUGAGCCUAGGUCGGAUUAGCUAGUUGGUGAGGUAAUGGCGUCACCAAGGCGACGAUCCGUAACCGGUCUGAGAGGAUGAUCAGUCACACUGG